AUACGGAGGAUCCGAGCGUUAUCCGGAUUUAUUGGGUUUAAAGGGUGCGUAGGCGGCCUUUUAAGUCAGCGGUGAAAGUCUGUGGCUCAACCAUAGAAUUGCCGUUGAAACUGGGAGGCUUGAGUAUGUUUGAGGCAGGCGGAAUGCGUGGUGUAGCGGUGAAAUGCUUAGAUAUCACGCAGAACCCCGAUUGCGAAGGCAGCCUGCAAAGCCAUGACUGACGCUGAUGCACGAAAGCGUGGGGAUCAAACAGGAUUAGAUACCCUGGUAGUCCACGCAGUAAACGAUGAUCACUAGCUGUUUGCGAUACACUGUAAGCGGCACAGCGAAAGCGUUAAGUGAUCCACCUGGGGAGUACGCCGGCAACGGUGAAACUCAAAUGAAUUGACGGG
Molecule: ribosomal RNA, 392 nt
Filed under: uncultured bacterium
Lineage: Bacteria
Description: partial 16S ribosomal RNA
Rfam family: Bacterial small subunit ribosomal RNA
Source: RNAcentral